CGUCCUCGGGUGGGCUCGAACCACCAACCUUUCGGUUAACAGCCGAACGCGCUAGCCGAUUGCGCCACGGAGAC
This 74-nucleotide transfer RNA is filed under the name Cordylochernes scorpioides. Its description in RNAcentral is "tRNA-Asn". Lineage: Eukaryota; Metazoa; Arthropoda; Arachnida; Pseudoscorpiones; Chernetidae. The record is from RNAcentral.